RNAcentral lists this ribosomal RNA (433 nucleotides) under uncultured bacterium. Its description in RNAcentral is "partial 16S ribosomal RNA". It matches the Rfam family "Bacterial small subunit ribosomal RNA", at positions 29 to 507 of the family's 1533-position model. The record is from RNAcentral.
AACGAACGCUGGCGGCAUGCCUAACACAUGCAAGUCGAACGAGACCUUCGGGUCUAGUGGCGCACGGGUGCGUAACGCGUGGGAACCUGCCCUUAGGUUCGGAAUAACUCCCCGAAAGGGGUGCUAAUACCGGAUAAUGUCUUCGGACCAAAGAUUUAUCGCCUUUGGAUGGGCCCGCGUUGGAUUAGCUAGUUGGUAGGGUAAAAGCCUACCAAGGCGACGAUCCAUAGCUGGUCUGAGAGGAUGAUCAGCCACACUGGGACUGAGACACGGCCCAGACUCCUACGGGAGGCAGCAGUGGGGAAUAUUGGACAAUGGGCGAAAGCCUGAUCCAGCAAUGCCGCGUGAGUGAUGAAGGUCUUAGGGUUGUAAAGCUCUUUUACCCGGGAUGAUAAUGACAGUACCGGGAGAAUAAGCUCCGGCUAACUCCGUG